RNAcentral lists this long non-coding RNA (712 nucleotides) under Ananas comosus (pineapple). Its description in RNAcentral is "long non-coding RNA (ACOM_LNC005605)". Lineage: Eukaryota; Viridiplantae; Streptophyta; Magnoliopsida; Poales; Bromeliaceae. The record is from RNAcentral.
UUUAUGCAUGAGUUUAAGGAUUUAGAGUUUGAUUCUUGCAUGAUUGUAAGUUAGGGCUCCAAAAAUGGGGUUUUGUGAUUUGUUGGGUAUUGAUCUAAAUUGAUCAAGUGUAAACCUAAUUGCUAGGUGUUUAAAUGCGUAGGCGAAGACGGUUCGACGAUUCGUCGAGCGGGUGCAAAGUUACGGGCAAAAAGGGGUCUUCCGAGUUUCGUUUCCGCCUAGGAGGCCAAGACGACGUCGUAAAAUCGGCGAACUUCAUUCCUAGAGUUGUGACAACGCCAGAAGGUGGGUGGUGUCAUCCCGAAGCAACCGGGCUCCUCUUUAUGUCUUAGUGCAUUUUAAAUCUUGCAUCUCUUGCAUAUAUGCAUUGUAGGAUAAAUGUGCAUUUUCAUUUCCUUAUGCUUUCCUAGAUGAUAUCAUAGUGUGAGUUGAAUGCUUGAUAUAGUGGAUAGAUAAGGAUUGGGUCGAGACAUUGAAUCCUAUAGUGCUGAGAUAAGAGAUGGACUCGAUAGUUGAUAAGACAUAACGAGUGGCAUGUAAAUAAUAAUAACAACAGAACGAGUGGCAUAUAACUUAGUAUAAAAAUGACACUUGACAUGUGAACUUAGGGAUAGGUGGAUUCCCUAGUGAUGAGUCAUUGAAUAAGAACUUAGUGUAGUUAAACACUUGCAUAUGGACAUUGGGAUAGGUGGAUUCCCGAGUGACAGUUAGC